This 254-nucleotide ribosomal RNA is filed under the name uncultured bacterium. RNAcentral describes it as "partial 16S ribosomal RNA". It matches the Rfam family "Bacterial small subunit ribosomal RNA", at positions 524 to 776 of the family's 1533-position model. The record is from RNAcentral.
UACGGGGGGGGGCAAGCGUUGUUCGGAAUUACUGGGCGUAAAGGGCUCGUAGGCGGCCAACUAAGUCGGAUGUGAAAUCCCCAGGCUUAACCUGGGAACUGCAUCCGAUACUGGAUGGCUUGAAUCCGGGAGAGGGAUGCAGAAUUCCAGGUGUAGCGGUGAAAUGCGCAGAUAUCAGGAGGAACACCGAUGGCGAAGGCAGGUCACUGGGCCGCAACUGACGCUGAGGAGCGAAAGCAUGGGGAGCGAACAGG